Molecule: long non-coding RNA, 216 nt
Filed under: Gossypium barbadense (sea-island cotton)
Lineage: Eukaryota; Viridiplantae; Streptophyta; Magnoliopsida; Malvales; Malvaceae
Description: long non-coding RNA (GBAR_LNC002429)
Source: RNAcentral
UAAGAUAGAAAAAGGCUGAAAACACAAUAAGAACAGAAAAUAGAUUAGAUAAUGAUUCAGCACAAGUAGAAAUAAAGAAAGAAUUGACAGUAAGAAAUUAAAAGAUAAGUCCUAAGAAGCCUUGAAAUCUCGAAAGAUCUCACAACUCCCUUCAAACGGCUCUAAUCUCCCCUCCAAAGAAUAUCAAUGGCAAGAAGAAGGUUGAAGAUGGCCCCC